ACAAAAUCUCUUUUCUUCUGUGUCAAUCUCAGUGCAUCGCUUCCAGGUUCUACGUUAGAACAAAAAGUAUUCUCAUCACUUCAUAACAUUGAGGUUGAUCCACUGAAGUUACAUGGACUACUUUAAUGAGGUUUUCACUACCUUUCUGGGCCCCGGACGUUGUAAUGACGUUGUGGUCUAUGUGUGGUUCAGGUACCUCUCUGAUUUCAUCAAACACAUCUUAAUGUGUGUUCCUGAAAACGAAUGAAGAUGUUUACCAAGAACAUCAAUGAAAGUGGAAAGACCUCAGAGAAGAGGAACAACACAGUCAAUCCUCAUGUGUCUACUCUUCUCAUUAGGCUACCCUGUGGACCUUGAGUGGUUAAGCAUGUGAGUUGUCAAA
Pimephales promelas (fathead minnow) is the source of this 382-nucleotide non-coding RNA. NCBI's taxonomy places the organism in Eukaryota, Metazoa, Chordata, Actinopteri, Cypriniformes, Leuciscidae. The record is from RefSeq and is a predicted model, not a curated record.